This 293-nucleotide ribosomal RNA is filed under the name Proteocephalus ambloplitis. Its description in RNAcentral is "partial 16S ribosomal RNA". It matches the Rfam family "Bacterial large subunit ribosomal RNA", at positions 1943 to 2530 of the family's 2925-position model. Lineage: Eukaryota; Metazoa; Platyhelminthes; Cestoda; Proteocephalidea; Proteocephalidae. The record is from RNAcentral.
UGACUGUGCAAAGGUAGCAUAAUUAAUUGCCUUAUAAUUGAAGGCUUGUCUGAAUGGCUUGACGAGGUAGCUACAAAUAUUUGAUUUUUUAGUGAAAUUGGUUUGGAGGGCACAGAAUCCUCCUUUUUUAAUUAGACGGAAAGACCCCAGAAUCUUUCAUUUUUGUCUGGGGCAGAUGGUAAUUUUUCAUUUCUAUUUUGACCCCUCCAGGUUUAUUGAGUUAAGUUACUCUGGGGAUAACAGUGUUAUAGUUUAUUAGAGGCCUUAUCGAAUAAACUGUUUGCUACCUCGAU